CCCCCCCCCAACCCCCCCACGUCGGACCUUCUCGAAAGGUCCGCGAAAUAUUGUCUGACAUGAAACCAGUCUGUGAGGUAAAAAAGGUUGGGGACCACUGCAUUACAUUACAUUACAGGUCAUUUAGCAGACGCUUUUAUCCAAAGCGACUUACAUUACACUUUAAACCCAUGGCUUUUUCAUCUACAAGAGAAUGCUACGUACCAGGGCCAAAUACCAAAGUAUUGUAAAGGACUCCUAACAUCCUGACCAUGGACUUUUCAAAACACUGAGGUCAAGCAAACGUCCCUGCUGCUUACUCAUUUAAACUUUUCUGCUCUGACCAAGGAUGAGGAGCCUGGAAAAUAACUUCUUGUCAGCACGCACAAUCACUUCUUUGCCUGCUGCAGAUUUUUUGGGGCUUUACCUGAUCACUGAAGGUCUUGAGUUUUUGUGAUUUUUAUGGGGGCAAAUAUGUCAACUGAAUUUGAUAACAAUCUCUGGUCCAGAAAUUAUUUUACGGCAUUUUCACCCUUUUCUGAGGCAAUUAGCAAAUCCUUCAUGGUUUCUUCUGUUGCUACUCUUCCAGAGACACACUAUGCCGUCUUGUUAUACAUCAAAAGGUGUUGAGCAUGGAUGCUUCAAUGAUGGAAGUGGUUCUGCUCACAGCCUUUUCAUCAGCAUCGAUGCGUGUGUUGUCAAGGUCUUUUCGUGUCCGUAGCUCAGGAGAUAUUCCUGCCAUUGAUUCACACUGUCUUGCUAUAGCGGCUCUUUCAUGCUGUGACAGUACCCAGUGAUGGGAGUCGUGUUGCAGGGGUAGAGGGUGCGCUGGGAACAGCAAGGUUGGUGGUCCGAGUCCCAGCUGCCCCAUGUCCCAAGUCGAAGUGUCCCUGAGCAAGACACCUAACCCUUAAUUGCUCCCUGGGCAAAAAUGUAAAAAAAACAUGGGUUAAAAAUGUAAUGAAAGUCGCUUUGGAUGAACGCGUCAGCUAAAUGACCUGUAAUGAUACAUUGCAGACCGAUUUUGUGUGAUCCCUGUCCGACCACCUUUUGUGACUUAACUUAAACAUAAUGUUAUUGUAUAUAUAUUCGCCUUAUUGUUCUUCUUGAACGCGGCUAUGUAUACAGCACUGUUUAGAAUCCAUUUGGCCCACUAAAUUAUGAGAAAACAUUAGUAUCAUUGAACUAAAUCAAUUAUAGAGAUGUUUUCAAUAAAAGCACGGGAUGUUUAAACAAAGGCAAAAUGCCUCAACAGAAGACUGAGGGUUGAGAGACUGGAGGCAAUGUUUUCUUUUUAACCGUACACACUGUGUCAACAAAGUAACAACGUAGUAUCUGAUUUCUACUUUUGGGAAGAUUGUGAAAUAUCAUUGCACUUAUUAUCCAUUUAACAAAUAUAUGUUAAGAUUAAAUACAAAUUAAGAAAACAAUGGCCUAAUGGGCUUAAUGACCGGGCCAGAACAGGCGUCACCCUGGACCAAACCCAUGGUUUGGUCCCCCCCUGGUUUCGCACCUUGUGGUAGCGGCGAGGUGGGCCAGCAAAUGGACAAACUUGCACUGGUUUUACUCAUAUUUGAUGAUCAGAUACAAUCGAAAUACUUCUCAGUGUCCCCUUUCAUUACAGUGCAUGUGUGAAAUAUUCAUUUUUGGGGGAUUAGGAAAGGCUCCACGCUCCAAGUAAUAAGUAGGAGGAGGCAGAUGACUCUAACUUCAUUAAAUAAAAUUCAUAAAUUUGUUGGUAAAAAAGUCAUUGUGGAUUAGUUUCAUAAAUGACGCCCAAUGGCAAAGAAAUUCAAAUGAAACCUAUUGUUCAAUGGAGGAGUCUCACAUACGUCACAUAAUACAAUGAAUCAAAACCAAUGGCUUCCUAGAAAUAGACCUUUUUAUUUAUUUACAACUAUUUUACUAGGUAUUCUCUGUAUUUUAGCAGUCCUUUCUUUGUUGGAUAAAAAAGGAUGAUUUCAUUUCUGUGUUCAAAGUAGAACCGCUAUCCCUUUCCAGUAAAAUCAAGGUGCUUUAAUAACCUGUUAAACUGCAGACAUGAGGAUUUUUUUCCACGUAAGAUGUGGGGAUCAGAGUUAUUUUAUUAACCUUUAUGGGUCAGCUAGAUGAAUCGAUAUGAAGCAUAGGAACACUGGGUUGAUUAAAUCAAACAGCAGGACGCAUCUGUCAAGUCCUCUCACUUCCUCUGGGUCUGAAAGCACAGGGGAAAUCACCUCUGGUAAAACCACCGCAGUGUCCCUCGUCUCCGUGUGGGUAAAAAAAAAAAAAAGGGGAAGAAAACAAGCCCGACCUUUUUAAGAUGUCAGAACAACCUUUGACAUUUGAACAACACUCAAUGGGGAAUAAUAUAGAUUUAUUUUAUUCUUAAAAUUGAUUUACACAUACGAGGUUCUUACCCAACAGCAGAAAAUCCAAUCAGGACUCAAGAUUAUGUGAUAUUGCAAAAAUAUAGAGACAAUAAUAUCCUGGUCAAAAGUAGUUUUGCAAGUAAACCUACAUUGGAAGUUUAUUUUGAAAUGAGACUAUUGGACAAGUCAAAAGUCUGUACACGCUUCAGUGACCAUUUAUCCAUUUAAUUGUGCGCAAAAAAGGCAGGCAUGCCUUUGCUACAUAUAAAUGCAUGCAUAGAACUCUCGUAUGCAUUAUUCCCAUUAUUCUACGUAAUAUAUCAAAAUCGAGGAACUUCCUGUCUCAAAGUGAUGCAGAAAAAUGAGUUGAUGUGUUUGCUACUUGACUGGAUUACUGUAAUUCUUAUCAGGCUGCUCUUGUAAAUCUCAUAAGCCUCUACAGUUGAUUCAGAAUGCUGCAGCACAUGGUAUUAAAAAGAACUAAGAAAAGGGAUCUAUUACUCCUGUAUUAACUCCUCUGCAAGAAUAGAAUUUAAGGUACUUCUUCUCACCUACAAAUCACUUGCUGGUGAGGCACCGUCUUAUCUUACAGAGCUUGUAACACCGUAUUGCCCUACAAGGUAACUGCCUUGUGGCUGCGCUCCGUAGAUGCUGGGUUACUUGUUGUUCCUAGAGUUUUAAAAAGUAGGAUGGGAGCCAGAGCCUAUAGUCAUCAAGCUCCUCUUUUGUGGAACCAGCUUCCACUUAGAUUUUUUUGAGGGGAGGCAGGUUUCGGGACAGAGGAUGUUGCAUGUGUACAGACUGUAAAGACCUCUGAGGCAAAUUUGCGAUUUUGUGCUGUACAAAAUGAAAUGAUUGUAUUUAAAAACAGAUGUCUCUUCCCACCUCAGUUUCACAGGUAUAUACUGUAAGUUCCCUAAGCCCCUGAACCAAUCAACACCAUAUUUAAUUAAACUUACGCUGGUUGAUUACAUACUCACAGUACCUUGACACAGGUGGUGUCAGUCUGGUAUUUUCUUUUGCAUUAGAUGUGUUAAACAGGGAUGUUAUUUGUGGUCCAACUUAUUUCCAAUAGCUAUCUUACAGAAUAUACUGUGAUUGCCUUCAUUUCUGCUUUUUAGUUUAUUGAAACAUUGUUAUACUUUAUAUGUAUUUCAAUGGUUUCCACCGUCUUGAUUGAGCAAUAAUGUUGGCAUAUCUGUCCUUCUGUACUGACUGAAAUAUAAAAAACAAAUGUUCAACCACGGCUAUCAUCAUAUUAAAACCCGUCCAAUAGUUAUGAUUAUGACAACUAGGGCUGUCAACAUAAACGCAUUACUCUAUGCGAUUAAUGUGGCCGAAAUUAAUACAACAAAAUAUUGUAAUGUGGUUAACAGACGUUUGUUGGUUUACUUUCGGUCCAAAUUGACCGCACAAAUGAGCCAAAUGAGCCGCUAGCUGCAGUCAGUUAAUUGAGAUUAAUGAAUUUCAAAAUGUGCGAUCCAUCCAUCCAUUUUCAAACCGCUUAUCCUGCACACAGGGUCGCGGGGGGGCUGGAGUCCAUCCCAGCCAACUUCGGGCAAUAGACAGGGUACACCCUGGAUUGGUCGCCAGCCAAUCGCAGGGCAACACAGAGACACACAACCAUUCACACUCACAUUCACACAACUACGGGCAAUUUAAAGUCCCCAAUUAACCUGAUCCCCAGAGCAUGUCUGGACUGUGGGAGGAAGCCGGAGAACCCGGAGAGAACCGACACAGACACGGGGAGAACAUGCAGACUCCACACAGAAAGGCCACUGGGCGGAAUCGAACCCAGGACCUUCUUGCUGUGAGGCGACAGUGCUAACCACCACGCCACCGUGCCACCCAAAAUGUGCGAUUAAUUAGUUAAUUUCUUUUUAUCUAUGGACAGCCCUAGACAAAACAUCUGCAAAAUUAGAUAUUCCUCUAAAGCAGGGUUGACAAACUCAUGUUCGGUUUGGGCCAGAUAGUGCCCACUUUGAUGGAAGGCAUCUACCGGCACUGUGUUGAACGACAUGGUCCUCCGCAUGCACUCACUCACAGAAUGCGACCCCCAGUGGACAUUUUAGGAAUAGCAGCUACCUUUUAAUAGAAAUGCAAUUUAUUACCAGCGUUGGCUUCAAGUUUGGUGUAGUUAUCCCUGUACAAAAUCUCAAACACAGGAAUAAAGCAGAAGUGUAGCGUGAAUGGCAUAGCACUGGGCUUCAGCCGACCCUGGGUUAACUGUGUGUCAUCUAGGACCAUAUUGCAUUCUAUGGGGAAUUUUGGGAUCCGGUUUAAUCUCCUUUUGUGUGAUGUGUUUGCUUGACUGAUAUGAUCAGUCGCUUUGCAGCGACUGAAUACUCAAGUUGGUUAGUAUCCACCACGCUGCUCCCCCAAGGUCAGCGUGCUUGUUGUUGCUGUACCCUCCCAACCUUCCUUCAGCCUUUGCAUGGAUAUAAAAACAAGCCCAGACAAAUUCUGUGUGGUGCCUGCGCAGAUCAAUUUAACAGUCGACAUGUGUUCAAGAUAGAGAGGGUGAUAGACACACAUGGUUCAAUGGAGAUUGAGAAGAGGGCAAUUUGGUUUGAUAUAAGAUUGAUAAUGUGCCAAAGGGGAGAUAGAAUCCUAUCAAUCAGAGCCUUUGCCCUUGAAUGUCACCCGAACAAGGCACACACAGCUACUGGAGUUUGGGUUUCAAAUCUCAGAUCAGCUGUUGCCCAGUUACAGACUUCCCCGCUUGAACCAUGAUCAUCUUUAACUUCUGGCUGCUGAUCAGCCUCUUUCCUCCCCGUUGCUGCAACCCGAGUGGACUUAAAUGAGUUCAAGAGGGAUCAAUAUGCCCGGUAAUCAUAUUACCCUUAUGAAAAUGACUACUUAUUACAUGCUGAAACUUUAAUGUUGCCAGGGGGGGAACAGACAGUAGGAAAGUGGCACAUAAUUUCCUGCCCCUGUGAUUAGAACAGAAGUUGGUGACUUCCAUGAAGUUGGUGAAAAAACAUGAAUAAAGUACCACAAAAUAUUAUAGAAACAAUAUUCUAUUUUAAUGUUUGUAGUAGCUUAAACACUUAAUUGUACUUAUUUGAAUCUUCACAACUUUAGAUGUGGGUCCCGUCAACAGUUCAUAGAGCUGGUUGGCAGUGCAACACAGCAUGGGAGAAAGUAGUUCAUCAGCUCAUCGAUUAAUCUUAGGAAGGAAAAAAAGUUUGCUUUUGGUGUUAAAUAUAUCCACCAGAUCCUGUUGAACCCGUUGUUAAAAAGGUGACAAUCUAUACAAACUGAGUAACACACAAGAAAGACGUUCUGCAAAAUGUCCUUAAUUUUGGGGUCAUAAUAAUCCAAAUUAAACUUUGUAAGAUCUUUGAAGGGAUAAUUACUUGGAUGACUACUAAUAACCUUUUUUUCACAGCACGAUGACCCUUGUGCUGCUUGCAUGAAACCACGUGUCUUUGUUUUUCAGCUUUAAAAUCUGUUCAUUCAGGUGUAAAGUGAUGUUGCCUAAAAAGCCACACAAUUAGUAGUCUUACAAGAGAAGCUUGUGUGCAGCGUUAUAUUUGUGGAUAUUAACACGUUUCAGCUCUAGUCUCUUCUCUAAUAACAUCUGUGGCUUCAUUCCAGAUGUGAGAGAGAAAAUGGUUGUUUUUUUGUCUCGUAGGGGCGCUUCACAUUAUCGCUUUUAAUAAUCACCACGGUCUCUGAACAUGCGAGACAUCCUGGCUUUGAACUGCCCUAAGGGGGAAUCAACAUAAGAGCUUGUCUAUUGUUGUUUAAAGGCUGUGGUCUCUCUGUCCGCUCUCUUUUUGGAGAAUGUCAUGUGAAAUAAAUUGUUAAUUGACAAGCGUGCCCUUUCGUAAAUAACAGGCCUCCUAGACGCACCUAAACGCUGCAGAAGAAUGUGAACACAAAUCAUCACCAGCAUAAAUUCUGAUGUUGAAACAGGCAUCGCGUCCAGAUCGCCGACUUCCACUUGUGCUUGUUUUACGCAAAGUCGACCGAACAACAAGGCGAGCAGGCAAGUGGGACAUAUUAAGAGGAUUGUUAGGGAUGCAGCUGGCGUCUUUUGGGAACUAGCAACACUCACACAGUUCCCUUCAACCCAUUAGGUCCUGCACAAGUCUGACGAAUUGGGCACUAUAAUGAGUGCAACAUGGAGCUCAAGACCUCACGCCGUAUUUAUGGGCAGAUCUGUCAAAUCAAUGAGCAACAAAGCCAUUAGCACAGAAGGGAGAGGCAGCGCUGCUCCACUGGCCUAAUGGUGAAAGCCAAUGUGUUGUUGCAUUAGUGGUCGAUUUAAUAAAGAAGAGCCGUUGAAAGCAUUACCAUGUGCCAAUUACUUCAAGGCUUGAUGGUCUGCUCACUGUAAUUUAAGGUCAUUUGGCAGCCUGUGGGGACACAGAGGAAGUGCAAACUACCAUUGGACCUCUCCUGCUAAAAGUCUCCAUCCACACAAUUUGACAAGGAACGUCAUGUAAUCAGCUGUACACGUGUUGCCCCUAUGAGAGCUCACUGUUACAUAAAACGGGGGAAUUAAGCUCCACGCUGCUCUGUGGUCCAUUUCUGGCUUGCAAAUUAUGCUCUCUGCUUGACUCUUCCUCCUCUGGCCUCCACCUCUUCUUCCCUUCAUUUCUGUAAUUUGUGUGUUUUUGUCCCCCCUUUUGUUCGCCUUUGCCUGUGCCUAUUUUUGUCUUUCUGUCUUGCACGGUGGCCGACCCCUUAUUCUGAUUAUGUGCUGUUGAGGCGAAGGGGUUCAAAGCAUAGUUACUGGUAGGCACAAUGCAUCUCAUACUGGACUGAAGGGCGCCUUUUCCAUCAGUAUCAUGAUGCCGAGGGGAGCGACAAACAAUGAGCCACCUCUCAUCAACGGCCCAGCCGUCCUCUCUUCUGUCCCGCUGCCUUGUUCUUUCAGACGUUCAAUAUCUGUCCCUUCUCCUUACUUUCUACUUGCUUCUCCUCAUUUCCUCUUCCCCAUUCCUAACGAAGGGCUGACACAUCGCCUCCUGCUGAUGGACGACAGUGUGUGACUCAUGAUCCUCCCGGGGUGUGUCAUGUAAUUAUCAGAGGCACGUAGCGAUUGCAUUGGGGGUAUAACUAACACUGCUUUCACAACCGUAGUUUGGUCCGUUUGUUCGUGCUUCUGACAAACAAACCAAGAGCUGUAAGCAUUACAUCAUAUUUAACAACAGGCACCUCACUGACUAGUCAAGUUUUGGCAGUUGACGUGGCAAGCAUGUGGAUAGAUGCACGAAUGUUUUGCUUUUUAAUGUACACAUAAAAGCAUGGCGGGGAUGCGGCCGUGCAUGGACAGCGAAAGGCGGCACCCGUUCUCUGAGUGGCCACAUCUCCAAUCUGAUGUCAAACGCACAGCUGAUAUGUCGGCAGACACAAUAGAAGCCCAUAUUUAAACGAUUCUGUAUGAACAGAACACUAUUGUUGGUUACUUGUUCUGUCAUUAAGAGUUUAUCACGAUAAAUGAUUAUUAUUGGUUCAAAGAGCCCACUUAACCCACACAAACACUGUGGUUUCCCCGUCCCAAGUCAGAGGACGUACAAUAGUUCAAGUUAAAAAAGGUGGAUUUAUGCUACUGAUGGCCUACUGGUCAGAUGUUAAGAAUUGAAUCUGUUGGUGAGUGGUUGGUGCCCCUAGUGAAGGUGGUGAUGGUAGUAAGUAUCCAGGGGGCCUUAUUUACCAGCAGUAAUGUCUGCAUUGUACUGUUGUGGUGAAGAUUGGACUAAGCACAAAGGUCUCAAUUUAACAGCGGGUAUAUGUUCUCUCCGCUUUGGCCAUGACCUCCGGGUAAUGAACAAAAGAACGGCAUUGCGGAUACAAGCUGCUGAAAUGAGUUUUCUUUCUCCGGGUGUCUGGGCUCAGAGGGUCUGGAGCUGCUGCUUUCUCCCUUUUGUUGAUCGCAGUCUGUGAGGUUACUCGGGUAUCCAAUUAGGAUUCCUCUGUGUGGCCAGCUGAGAGGAGGCACACUGAUGCUAUUAUAUAUUUUAUCUUGGGGGUCUUGCAUACAUCGAGACCCCGACCUGCUGCAGAAAAUGGAUGAAAGCUGAUGUGACAACUACGAUGGUUGGGAGUUUAAAAGUCAAACUCCAGUCAAUCAAGGGAAAAAGCCCCGAAACGUACUACUCUUUUUUUUUUUUUUUUAGAUUAUCAUCUUGACAGUUUUGUUUUUGUUACUCUGAAGUGACUGAAGGAACAAGAAAGAUGACAUCCAACCACAGUCCUUAGCCAGGCUCUGAGCCUUUUUUCCACUUCAUCAAUAGUCUUCUUUUUUAAUCAACAUUUAAUUCAUCGUCAUUGAAUUCCAUGUAUGUCAACUCAUGUUAUCUGACUAUACUCGAUUAGAAGUCAAAGUGCAUCAACACAAUUAUAAGUCUUGAUCAAUACAGAAAUGAUUAGUUCAUUUUGUAAGUUAUUGUGCCAUUUAGAGUCAAAUAGCUCAUAAAAAAUUUUUUUUUUUAAAUAUCUUUCAGGGGUAGUUCUUCCAUUUUACAUUUCCAUUCCAUUUGAAAGGUCCCAUUGUUCAAGUUGGUUGGUUUUGUGUUUUCAUCUUCCUACUAAAACUCUCUCACUUGGUUUUUAACUAACAUUUUGGUCACCCACAAAUGGUUUAUUCAGUGUUGGGAUGUGCUGACAGGGUCCGAACCAUUGUCAGAGUCGGGGAAACGUGGGAAACGUGUUGCGUCUCUGGCUGCGUCAUUUCAGGAAAGGCGUCUCUCCCAUUCUAUUACCAUUUAAGCUUAUCAAUAAACCUUUUGUAGUUUGAAUAGUAACUGUUGUGAUAUUGUAACCUCUAAAAUAUAUUUUAAUAACAACUACAAUUGUCUUGUGAUUUCAGAGACCAAAUAUAGCUUUUCAGUCUUUGGUCUGAUGUGUCAGUCGAAGGUAUUUCACACUUUGAACAUAGUGGAACUUGUGAACAUUAAAACACUAACAUAUCACCCAGACAAUAUCGGAACAUUGUAUGAUUGAAUGAGCAGAAAGUCACUGUGUUAUUGGGCUGACUCUUAUUUAUGUUUUCUUUUAUCUCUUUGGCUUAUAAAAUCAGCUUCAAGUCACUUAGCUAGUUUAACAACCUAAUUCUAAACACAAUGUCUAAAUGGAUCUUUUGAUGUGUACCUCUAAUGUACACGUUGAUAACACCUUGAUAAAUAAAAGUUUAUGGAAGACAAGGUUUCAUAGAAGUGCCAUGGUUUCUCUGUGAAAUAGAAAAAGAAACUUACCCUGUUCACCCCAAAAUCUGAUUACUGUACCCUUCCAAAAGAAAAGGUACAGUACCAUCCUUUGUAUCUGACCUCCUGCUUGUCAUUUAUCUGAGAAACAAAAAAAAGUCAUCUUUAGUAACUUAAAAAGACAUAAGCAGAGCGGCAAACCAAGGCCAGUAAAGAUAAAUGAAACAUGUCAGCACAGCAGGAGACGAUCUGCACAGGAUAUGAAGCUUCCGCUGGCUGCCUCUUUCAGACGGGAGAUCUGUGGCUUCCAAUCAGGGAGAAACGGCCCCGGAGAUGUUCGAAAAUUCGAAAAUUAAGGCUAAAACCAAAUUUUUGUCUAUAACUAAAUUAUAUAUAACUUGGUUUAUUUAACACACAACCAUACCCUCAUAUCUAAUAAAGAAAAAUAAGACCGUCAAGGUCAACUCUUAACUCGCUCAGUAAAUCCACAAAUCAGAAGAACAAUACCAAAAACUGCUUCUAGUUUCACGGCUAGUCUCAGCCUUAAAGCUGUUGUGCAGUCCAACACUUCAAACUGCACAAGCCUCCAGCAUGGACCCCAAUGUCAAACAGCGUUAUUUGCACUGCAAGGCCAAACCUGACGUUCAGACUUUAUUUCAUGAACUCCACUCGAGAGGCGGUGUUAAAUGGAAAAUGGAGAUUCCAGCGAGCAACAUUAGUGUAAAGGGCCCCAAGGACUGAGUUAUUUCUAUUCCUCAGAGGGCCGUGGGAGGGUGGUUUUGUAUGGGGGGGCAUAUUUUUGCUUUUAUUGUUGCAUUUGAAUGGAUUCACAGAGAGAUUGGAAGCCUUGAAGGAGGGCAUCUCCCCUUUCACAAAGACACAAAUGCUCUCAGGGCCUCACAGGUUUUUUUCUGUUCUGAGG
Gasterosteus aculeatus aculeatus (three-spined stickleback) is the source of this 10409-nucleotide long non-coding RNA. The record is from Ensembl. NCBI's taxonomy places the organism in Eukaryota, Metazoa, Chordata, Actinopteri, Perciformes, Gasterosteidae.